GACGAACGCUGGCGGCGUGCCUAAUACAUGCAAGUCGAACGCUUCUUUCCUCCCGAGUGCUUGCACUCAAUUGGAAAGAGGAGUGGCGGACGGGUGAGUAACACGUGGGUAACCUACCCAUCAGAGGGGGAUAACACUUGGAAACAGGUGCUAAUACCGCAUAACAGUUUAUGCCGCAUGGCAUAAGAGUGAAGGGCGCUUUCGGGUGUCGCUGAUGGAUGGACCCGCGGUGCAUUAGCUAGUUGGUGAGGUAACGGCUCACCAAGGCCACGAUGCAUAGCCGACCUGAGAGGGUGAUCGGCCACACUGGGACUGAGACACGGCCCAGACUCCUACGGGAGGCAGCAGUAGGGAAUCUUCGGCAAUGGACGAAAGUCUGACCGAGCAACGCCGCGUGAGUGAAGAAGGUUUUCGGAUCGUAAAACUCUGUUGUUAGAGAAGAACAAGGACGUUAGUAACUGAACGUCCCCUGACGGUAUCUAACCAGAAAGCCACGGCUAACUACGCG
This 508-nucleotide ribosomal RNA is filed under the name uncultured bacterium. RNAcentral's name for it is "partial 16S ribosomal RNA". It matches the Rfam family "Bacterial small subunit ribosomal RNA", at positions 28 to 507 of the family's 1533-position model. The record is from RNAcentral.